AUUGAACGCUGGCGGCAUGCCUUACACAUGCAAGUCGAACGGCAGCACGGGUGCUUGCACCUGGUGGCGAGUGGCGAACGGGUGAGUAAUACAUCGGAACGUACCUUAUCGUGGGGGAUAACGCAGCGAAAGCUGUGCUAAUACCGCAUACGUCCUGAGGGGGAAAGCGGGGGAUCGCAAGACCUCGCGCGAUUAGAGCGGCCGAUGCCUGAUUAGCUUGUUGGUGGGGUAAAAGCCCACCAAGGCGACGAUCAGUAGCUGGUCUGAGAGGACGAUCAGCCACACUGGGACUGAGACACGGCCCAGACUCCUACGGGAGGCAGCAGUGGGGAAUUUUGGACAAUGGGGGCAACCCUGAUCCAGCAAUGCCGCGUGAGUGAAGAAGGCCUUCGGGUUGUAAAGCUCUUCUGUCAGGGAAGAAACACCGGCUCUAACACAGUCCGGGAAUGACGGUACCUGAAGAAUAAGCACCGGCUAACUACGUGCCAGCAGCCGCGGUAA
RNAcentral lists this ribosomal RNA (501 nucleotides) under uncultured bacterium. RNAcentral describes it as "partial 16S ribosomal RNA". It matches the Rfam family "Bacterial small subunit ribosomal RNA", at positions 29 to 523 of the family's 1533-position model. The record is from RNAcentral.